GACUCCUACGGGAGGCAGCAGUCGGGAAUAUUGCGCAAUGGAGGAAACUCUGACGCAGUGACGCCGCGUAUAGGAAGAAGGUUUUCGGAUUGUAAACUAUUGUCAUUAGGGAAGAUAAAAGACUGUACCUAAGGAGGAAGCCCCGGCUAACUAUGUGCCAGCAGCCGCGGUAAUACAUAGGGGGCAAGCGUUAUCCGGAAUUACUGGGUGUAAAGGGAGCGUAGACGGCAGUGCAAGUCUGAAGUGAAAGGCGGGGGCCCAACCCCCGAACUGCUUUGGAAACUGUGCUGCUGGAGUGCAGGAGA
RNAcentral lists this ribosomal RNA (305 nucleotides) under uncultured bacterium. Its description in RNAcentral is "bacterial SSU rRNA". It matches the Rfam family "Bacterial small subunit ribosomal RNA", at positions 334 to 655 of the family's 1533-position model. The record is from RNAcentral.